RNAcentral lists this long non-coding RNA (347 nucleotides) under Sorghum bicolor (sorghum). RNAcentral describes it as "long non-coding RNA (SBIC_LNC015038)". Lineage: Eukaryota; Viridiplantae; Streptophyta; Magnoliopsida; Poales; Poaceae. The record is from RNAcentral.
CAGAAUUUAAUGACCUCAUGAGAGUUUCUUGAUGCUCUUCUGGGCUCUUUUUUGUCUCUUGAGGCCAAAAUCCAAAAUAGACAAUAGCAACCCUUUUACCAAAAUGUUGCAUGGUGUUUAGCUCUAUUACGUAAAAUGAUGGAUCAAAGCCCAAUUUUUUUUAGGAUGAAAGGAGAACCAAGAGCAACUCCAACAUCACUAUUCUUAUUAUGGAGGCUAUUUUAGAACUUGUAUACCGGAAGAAUAGUCUUCAACAUAUGUGUUAUUUGGUUUUAUAAAAUAGAAAGUUGGUUAUCUUUUGAUUUUUGUGGCCAUAUAUAGCUAACUGCUAGCAGUAGCCAUCUGAU